CGCCUCCCGCCAACUUAUGGGAGGCCCAGCCUGCCCAGUGACAUCGUUUAACGGCCUCGGUACCCUAACCGCGCGAAGGUAGCAUAAUCACUUGUUCUUUAAAUAGGGACUUGUAUCAACGGCACCACGAGGGCUAGACUGUCUCCCCUCUCCAAUCAAUGAACCUGAUUUCUUCGUGAAGAAGCGAAGAUAUACAUAUAAGACGAGAAGACCCCAUGGAGCUUAAAACCAAAUAACACCUUUCUACCCACAAACUUGAUAAAAAGUAAGCCUGUUAGCUAGUUUUCGGCUGGGGCAUCCAAGGAGUAUAACACAACCUCCCUGAUAAAAAUCUAAGAACCACAAUUCUAUGAAGCAGUAAACUGAUCUUAAAUGACCCGACACAACUCGACCAACGAACCAAGUUACCCUGGGGAUAACAGCGCAAUCCAUUUCAAGAGCUCCUAUCGACAAAUGGGUUUACGACCUCGAUGUUGGAUCAGGGUACCCCAGUGGUGCAGCCGCUACUAAAGGUUCGUUUGUUCAACGAUUAAAAC
This 536-nucleotide ribosomal RNA is filed under the name Phrynobatrachus sp. A DGM-2017. Its description in RNAcentral is "partial 16S ribosomal RNA". It matches the Rfam family "Bacterial large subunit ribosomal RNA", at positions 1817 to 2594 of the family's 2925-position model. The record is from RNAcentral. Lineage: Eukaryota; Metazoa; Chordata; Amphibia; Anura; Phrynobatrachidae.